RNAcentral lists this ribosomal RNA (119 nucleotides) under Podisma pedestris. RNAcentral's name for it is "partial 18S ribosomal RNA". It matches the Rfam family "Eukaryotic small subunit ribosomal RNA", at positions 1713 to 1831 of the family's 1831-position model. Lineage: Eukaryota; Metazoa; Arthropoda; Insecta; Orthoptera; Acrididae. The record is from RNAcentral.
GUACGCGGCAUCGACUCUGUCAUUGCCGAUGCUUCCGGAAAGAUUAACAAACUUGCUCAUUUAGAGGAAGUAAAAGUCGUAACAAGGUUUCCGUAGGGGAACCUGCGGAAGGAUCAUUA